GGUCUGAUCUAAAACUGCUACUAUUCAUAUAUCUACCAUUAAUCUCUUUAAUUUUUAUCUUUGUACAAGCAGAUCUCAAUUCUCUCUGUUCCCAAGACUUUUCCUCAUCUUUUACAUCAACCUAGGGUUUCAUCUUUUUCUUCGAGUUUUAUAUCUCGAUCAUUUUCACUUUGUUUUCGUGUAAGAAAUCGAGCUUCAAAGCUCUAUCUUCGUUAUUUCCAUUAGAAAACCACAUAAAACUUUCGAUUUCUUCCCCUUGGAAAACUUAUGGUGUUGAGUUACUUGAUUGGGUUCUUGAUGGUGGUCGCAAAGAUUCUAUAAUAUGUGAUUUCUUACAAGGUAUGGUCAUUCUCCAGGUACCUCAAAGUGGCUCGGUAAGUACUUCUUUGCUGGUUCAAAUUUUUGAGAAUGUGGCGGCUAGUGAAAUUGAUACUGGAGUGUGUGUUGGUAAACAAAUUAGUGGUUUUUAUGUUUCUGGACUAGGGUUUUAGUAAUAGAUGGUUAGGGUGUUAUAAUCUGACUCUUGUAUUCUGCGAAACUAUAGAAGUGUAGAAGAAUUUGGACCAUUUGGUGAUUGUUUUUCCAUGUUCUUGGUUUUUGGCAGGUAGUUUCCUCUAUCCACAUCAAUUGUUUGGUGAUAAUUUCUUUAUUAUUUUGCUCCCAUAUUUCUUAAUUUGAUGUUCAUAGUUAAGAUUCAAGUAGAGGUCUAUGAUCUUUAUUUUGAUUCUCAGGUGGAUCAAGGAGACUUCAUGGGCGGAGUUAGCUACAAGGCAUGGGAAUUUCUCCAGGAAAUGCAGCUUUUCUUGGCUACGGGAAGUGCUUUGGUUCGGAAGUUUACAGUAAUGGCUGCGACUACACAAUUUCUUCUGAUAACUGCGAGAACAAGACCUCCAAUCAAGGUGCAGUGGAAGCUACUUUAGAGUGUUGAAGUUAAAUCAAUAUGAGGUAGUGGAGGCUACUUCAGAACAAUGGAGUUUAGGAAAUAUUUUCUAUUUAGUAGUGAAAAGUAUGAUAUGAUUUAUUUAUCAAAGUUUUAUAUAUCUUUUGUUUUAUCAAAGAG
Long non-coding RNA from Papaver somniferum (opium poppy), 1060 nucleotides. RefSeq lists it as uncharacterized. The record is from RefSeq and is a predicted model, not a curated record. Lineage: Eukaryota; Viridiplantae; Streptophyta; Magnoliopsida; Ranunculales; Papaveraceae. The transcript is spliced from 4 exons.